This 974-nucleotide ribosomal RNA is filed under the name Triticum aestivum (bread wheat). RNAcentral describes it as "partial small subunit ribosomal RNA". Lineage: Eukaryota; Viridiplantae; Streptophyta; Magnoliopsida; Poales; Poaceae. The record is from RNAcentral.
AAGCAUUUAUCAUUUACUCCUACUGCUGUGUGGUAUGCUGUGCUAGCUGUCCUUUGCUCUUGCUUGGCCCUUGUAUGCUGCUGCUAUUGGACCAGGCCAGCCAUCAGGAAAUCUCAGAAAUCUGAAGUUCCUGCAAGCACCUCGCCAGAAGGAGCUUGAAGUGGUCAUCAGUGGCCUAUCAGUUUAGCUACCCUCUGUAUUCAGGUGCAGCAGCAUGGUUUUCCUCUGGUAAUCGACUGACAGUCUUCUGCUAUCAAUUUUGAUUCUAGCUUGCAGUCAGCCUUGCGAGAUCUUUAAAACUAUUGAUGGGUUGGAAGACUGGUUUAUAAGAGUUGAUAAUAUGGGCAAACGGUGAAAGGCGGCGACAAGUACUUGUUCAAGGAGCUAUCUGUGGGAGGACAACCGUGAAGGAUAAGGGGAAAUCUCCAUUCUCUGCAACUUAGCUGAAGAAGAACAAGGAAGCCGUAGAAACUACUUACUGCUACACCAUCUGCUUUUCAGUAGAUACCGUCGUUUCUUUUCUGAAGUUAAUUAUCGUGUGAUGAAGAUCGGUGAUACUCUCUUGACGUUGUGUCUGUGUUUUAUUCUUUAAUUAGUUAUGGUCAUGAACUGCAUUCAUUGUGGUUUAAGUGAAGUGUCCACUAUUUUUGGCUACUGUUAAGCGUAGUGGCCGUUUAGUUGUAAAGAAUUAGAUAUAUUUGGUUAAUUGGACCGUUGUAUGUAAUCAAACUGAAGCGAGGUGCAUCUCGUGUGUAUUUGUUUACUCUUACGCUGGCUCAAACUCAUUAGUAUAACUCAGAUGUUCUCCUUUACGUACUCUGCCGUCAGUCGGCGUCUUCAGCUUUUUGAUUGUGCUGGUGGAUGGUGUUUAGUAGUCCAAAAAUCUUUUGGUAACUGCACUCAUGGACGGACUGCAAUCAACGAACACAUGUUUUCUUUUCAGAGGACACGGUUUAGUUGGCAACUGUCUGAGC